Lolium perenne is the source of this 396-nucleotide long non-coding RNA. RefSeq lists it as uncharacterized. The record is from RefSeq and is a predicted model, not a curated record. Lineage: Eukaryota; Viridiplantae; Streptophyta; Magnoliopsida; Poales; Poaceae.
GAAAAAAGAUUUUGACAUUUUGGAAUGGUGGGAAAUGCACGGUAUAAAUUACCCAGUCCUAUCUUGCAUUGCUCGUGAUGUCCUAGCCAUUCAAGCAUCAACCGUUGCAUCAGAGUCUUCUUUAGUGCCGGCGGGAGAAUCAUUAGUGAUCACAGGACCAGGCUAAAGAGCGACACGGUUGAGGGGCUAUUAUGCCUCCAAGAUUGGCUAAAUGCUAAUGACACUAAACCAACUAAUAAAGAUGCUGAGGAGGAAGUAUACUUGGAGUUCCACCAAGCAAGCAAGUGCCACAAAGAAGGCCGCACUCGCUCGCGCUCCUCUGUGCCCUCCUCGUCGCCGCUCUCCUCCCCGGCGUCGAGUAGCUCACUCUCUCCCUCGAUCUCAUGUGAGUGCUUC